This 2352-nucleotide long non-coding RNA is filed under the name Equus asinus (donkey). Its description in RNAcentral is "lncRNA (ENSEASG00005028464.1)". The record is from RNAcentral. Lineage: Eukaryota; Metazoa; Chordata; Mammalia; Perissodactyla; Equidae.
UUUCAAAUGGCUCCUUUUCCCCUCCCCCUCGGAAGCCCAAGGGGAUUCUGCUCAGAUAUUUACUGUGAGAACUCCACCAAGUUCUUGGAGGUAAAACUCACAUAAGUUUGGGGCCCUCCCUAAGACUUGGUCCCCCUGAAGUUUUUAACUUUCAGACUUGUCCACAUUGAGUCUUCUUUAAUUCAUUAAUCACAGUGCAGGUUUUCCUCCCCCUGCACUGGUUCCCACAGCAGUAUCCACUGAAGACUGCUCAGUUUUUUAGUUGUGGUUAGGACCACGUGGCGAUUUCCAAGCUCCUUAGAUGUGGAAGUGGAAACUACACUCCUGAGUUUCUUGCCUGGCUGGAGGCAUUUAUGAAUCUCCAGGUUUCCUGGGUCCCAGCUCCUGGUAACUGUUACUGAGCCCUAAAGGACCGGUGAACCGCAAGUGGGUCCUGUUGCCCAGAGCUGCUCGCGCCAGUAGGAGAGCGGGUUCAAGCAGCAGAGCGGAAACUUUAUUCGUUGAUCAAUGAAUGGAGGAGGCAGAGCUCAUGCUCUAAAAACACCUUCUCCUCAAAGGGAAGCUUGGAGGUGGAGAAAAGUGCCAGGGACAAGGCCAUGAAGAAUUUGUUUGGUGCCAGCCACAGGGGUGAAGGUGAGGUGAAGCCACACAUUCUUCAUCUCCAAGGAGCCAGGGUCCAGGAAGAGUCCAAGACCGGGCAUCCUCAUGCCACCCAGUGAUCCUGAUGUGCCCCUAGGUUUGGACAUCUGUGAUACAUCUCACCCUUUGCCUUCAGAACUGGAUGUGACCUCUCGGUGUCAUUUGAUGAAACGAGCUCAUUAUGCCUAAGGAUUCAACUACCACCUGUAUUAUGCACGAUGACUCUCAAACCUAUACGUCCAUCCAGACCUCUCUGAUGAGCUGAGAACAUCUCCAACUACAUUCUCAACAGCCACACCAACUUGUGACCUCCCUGACCAAUCUGCUUCUCAAAGCUGAAACCCGGGCGUCCCUCACUUUGCAAUCCAAUGGUCACCAAGUCAUGUUAUCUGUCUCCUCCUUUGCACUUUACUUGGGGCCUUGAUUGCCUCUUUACUGGAUUAUUUUAACACUCUUUUUACUCAUCUCUUAGGACCCAAGCUUCUUCCUGCUUCAAGUCUAAGUUCUAAAAUAUGGCUAUGAUCACAUCAUCUUUCUCUUCUACUUCACAUCCUUCAAUGGUUUUCCAAUAACCUACAGGAUGAAGUUCUAAGUCCUCAGUAUGGUGAUCCAUGCCACUGAUGAUAUGACCCCACAUGGCCUCUCCAACCUCAUUUCUGACCACUUUGUAAUUGCUAUCUGGUGUUCCAGUAUCACAGAACAUUCACUGCACUUCCCUGAAUCCAUAAUGUGGUUUAACACUUGCUGUUGCCUUUGACUGGCAUGUCCUUCCCUACUGAUAUACCUGGAGACCACCCACCCUUCAACCCAAAGCUCAGGGCUUACUUCCUUGCUGAGAUGUUCUCUGACUCCUUCCCCUCAUCCUUUCCACGGCCCUUCCUCUUGGCUAUCACUGUGCCUUGCUUAUGCAUUUCUUUUUGUUCCUGUCUCGCAUGACUUUCUUUAUUCACGUAUCUGAAUCCCAUCUUUGUGUCUUAUCAUCUUUGUGUCAUGAGUACUUAACACGAGGCCCUCACAAUAGACACGCCUAAUGAUAUUUCUGAAUGAACAAAUGAAUGAAUGAAGGAGCCAUGCUAGACAGAUGGCAUCUGUCCUAUUUAUGAUCAAAAUUACCCCCAAGGAGUUGUAAUUCUUUGAUGAGUUUCUCAUUCCUCUCUUCAAAUAAGUUUCUAUCUUCCGCCAGCUGCUGAAGCUCUUUGAAUGCUUUAAAAUGCAGAAUUCAAAAUUGGCUGCCAAGAAAUGCCACUUCAUUUCCUUUCUAGAAUAGCAUAAUUUUCCCCAUGGCCCAGGCAAAACAGCAACCCUUGGCUAAUGUUUCAUAAAAAGGGAUUUUUUUCAGGGAAAAGGGGUUAACUAGAGAGGAAUUUAUCUUGGCUCAUUUCCGCCAUGUUUGCUCCCUAGGUGUUCCUGUCCAGGUGUGAGGACUCUUUCCUGUCUAGACACAGGGGCGGGUCAUUCCAGGUCAGGCUUUUAAUCUGAUGGUGACCCCACCUCAGGAAGUGCCAGGACCCUGUGAACCUUGCAGGCUCCCACAAUGUAGUCAUAGAUCUAGGUGAGGACCACAAUUUACAAGGCGUUUCUCUCUCCAACAGAGAGCAGAUUAGUCAUCUUUCUAAAAAUAGAAGGAGCAGGCACACAGGGGCACUUAUCUUCACUGGGAGCCCAGCCAGCAAAGCCCGUAGACCGACUGGAAGAGUUGGGUUAAGAUGAGCC